This 468-nucleotide ribosomal RNA is filed under the name uncultured bacterium. RNAcentral's name for it is "partial 16S ribosomal RNA". It matches the Rfam family "Bacterial small subunit ribosomal RNA", at positions 28 to 507 of the family's 1533-position model. The record is from RNAcentral.
GACGAACGCUGGCGGCGUGCUUAACACAUGCAAGUCGAACGGAAAGGCCCUGCUCUUGUGGGGUUCUCGAGUGGCGAACGGGUGAGUAACACGUGAGUAACCUGCCCUUGACUUAGGGAUAACUUCAGGAAACUGGGGCUAAUACCGGAUAUGAGCUCCUGCUGCAUGGGGGGGGUUGGAAAGUUUCGGCGGUUGGGGAUGGACUCGCGGCUUAUCAGCUUGUUUGUGUGGUAGUGGCUUACAAAGGCUUUGACGGGUAGCCGGCCUGAGAGGGUGGCCGGCCACAUUGGGACUGAGAUACGGCCCAGAAUCCUACGGGACGCAGCAGUGGGGAAUAUUGCACAAUGGGGGGAAGCCUGAUGCAGCAACGCCGCGUGCGGGAUGCCGGCCUUCGGGUUGUAAACCGAUUUCGCAUGUGACGAAGCGUGAGUGACGGUAAUGGGUAAAGAAGCACCGGCUAACUACGUG